RNAcentral lists this ribosomal RNA (468 nucleotides) under uncultured bacterium. RNAcentral describes it as "partial 16S ribosomal RNA". It matches the Rfam family "Bacterial small subunit ribosomal RNA", at positions 28 to 507 of the family's 1533-position model. The record is from RNAcentral.
GACGAACGCUGGCGGCGUGCUUAACACAUGCAAGUCGAACGGAGAGGCCCUGCUUUUGUGGGGUGCGCGAGUGGCGCAAAGGUGAGUAACACGUGAGUAACCUGCGCUUGACUGUGGGGUAACUUCAGGAAACUGGGUCUAAUACCGGAUAUGAGCUCCUGCUGCAUGGGUGGGGUUGGAAAGAUUCGGCGGUUGGGGAUGGACUCGCGGCUUAUCAGCGUGUUGGUGGGGUGGUGGCUUAGCAAGGCUUUGACGGGUAGCCGGCCUGCGAGGGUGACCGGCCACAUUGGGAUUGAGAUAGGGGCCAGAGUGAUACGGGAGGAAUGAGUGGGGAAUAGUCCAAAAUGGGCGGAAGGCGGAUGGAGGAACGUCGGGUGGUGGAGGACUGUUUUCGGGUUGGAAACCGUGUUAGCCUGGGAAGAAGAGUGAGUGACGGUAAUGUGUAAAGAAGCACCGGCUAACUACGUG